RNAcentral lists this ribosomal RNA (2921 nucleotides) under Staphylococcus aureus. RNAcentral describes it as "23S ribosomal RNA". It matches the Rfam family "Bacterial large subunit ribosomal RNA". Lineage: Bacteria; Bacillati; Bacillota; Bacilli; Caryophanales; Staphylococcaceae. The record is from RNAcentral.
UUAAGUUAUUAAGGGCGCACGGUGGAUGCCUUGGCACUAGAAGCCGAUGAAGGACGUUACUAACGACGAUAUGCUUUGGGGAGCUGUAAGUAAGCUUUGAUCCAGAGAUUUCCGAAUGGGGAAACCCAGCAUGAGUUAUGUCAUGUUAUCGAUAUGUGAAUACAUAGCAUAUCAGAAGGCACACCCGGAGAACUGAAACAUCUUAGUACCCGGAGGAAGAGAAAGAAAAUUCGAUUCCCUUAGUAGCGGCGAGCGAAACGGGAAGAGCCCAAACCAACAAGCUUGCUUGUUGGGGUUGUAGGACACUCUAUACGGAGUUACAAAGGACGACAUUAGACGAAUCAUCUGGAAAGAUGAAUCAAAGAAGGUAAUAAUCCUGUAGUCGAAAAUGUUGUCUCUCUUGAGUGGAUCCUGAGUACGACGGAGCACGUGAAAUUCCGUCGGAAUCUGGGAGGACCAUCUCCUAAGGCUAAAUACUCUCUAGUGACCGAUAGUGAACCAGUACCGUGAGGGAAAGGUGAAAAGCACCCCGGAAGGGGAGUGAAAUAGAACCUGAAACCGUGUGCUUACAAGUAGUCAGAGCCCGUUAAUGGGUGAUGGCGUGCCUUUUGUAGAAUGAACCGGCGAGUUACGAUUUGAUGCAAGGUUAAGCAGUAAAUGUGGAGCCGUAGCGAAAGCGAGUCUGAAUAGGGCGUUUAGUAUUUGGUCGUAGACCCGAAACCAGGUGAUCUACCCUUGGUCAGGUUGAAGUUCAGGUAACACUGAAUGGAGGACCGAACCGACUUACGUUGAAAAGUGAGCGGAUGAACUGAGGGUAGCGGAGAAAUUCCAAUCGAACCUGGAGAUAGCUGGUUCUCUCCGAAAUAGCUUUAGGGCUAGCCUCAAGUGAUGAUUAUUGGAGGUAGAGCACUGUUUGGACGAGGGGCCCCUCUCGGGUUACCGAAUUCAGACAAACUCCGAAUGCCAAUUAAUUUAACUUGGGAGUCAGAACAUGGGUGAUAAGGUCCGUGUUCGAAAGGGAAACAGCCCAGACCACCAGCUAAGGUCCCAAAAUAUAUGUUAAGUGGAAAAGGAUGUGGCGUUGCCCAGACAACUAGGAUGUUGGCUUAGAAGCAGCCAUCAUUUAAAGAGUGCGUAAUAGCUCACUAGUCGAGUGACACUGCGCCGAAAAUGUACCGGGGCUAAACAUAUUACCGAAGCUGUGGAUUGUCCUUUGGACAAUGGUAGGAGAGCGUUCUAAGGGCGUUGAAGCAUGAUCGUAAGGACAUGUGGAGCGCUUAGAAGUGAGAAUGCCGGUGUGAGUAGCGAAAGACGGGUGAGAAUCCCGUCCACCGAUUGACUAAGGUUUCCAGAGGAAGGCUCGUCCGCUCUGGGUUAGUCGGGUCCUAAGCUGAGGCCGACAGGCGUAGGCGAUGGAUAACAGGUUGAUAUUCCUGUACCACCUAUAAUCGUUUUAAUCNAUGGGGGGACGCAGUAGGAUAGGCGAAGCGUGCGAUUGGAUUGCACGUCUAAGCAGUAAGGCUGAGUAUUAGGCAAAUCCGGUACUCGUUAAGGCUGAGCUGUGAUGGGGAGAAGACAUUGAGUCUUCGAGUCGUUGAUUUCACACUGCCGAGAAAAGCCUCUAGAUAGAAAAUAGGUGCCCGUACCGCAAACCGACACAGGUAGUCAAGAUGAGAAUUCUAAGGUGAGCGAGCGAACUCUCGUUAAGGAACUCGGCAAAAUGACCCCGUAACUUCGGGAGAAGGGGUGCUCUUUAGGGUUAACGCCCAGAAGAGCCGCAGUGAAUAGGCCCAAGCGACUGUUUAUCAAAAACACAGGUCUCUGCUAAACCGUAAGGUGAUGUAUAGGGGCUGACGCCUGCCCGGUGCUGGAAGGUUAAGAGGAGUGGUUAGCUUCUGCGAAGCUACGAAUCGAAGCCCCAGUAAACGGCGGCCGUAACUAUAACGGUCCUAAGGUAGCGAAAUUCCUUGUCGGGUAAGUUCCGACCCGCACGAAAGGCGUAACGAUUUGGGCACUGUCUCAACGAGAGACUCGGUGAAAUCAUAGUACCUGUGAAGAUGCAGGUUACCCGCGACAGGACGGAAAGACCCCGUGGAGCUUUACUGUAGCCUGAUAUUGAAAUUCGGCACAGCUUGUACAGGAUAGGUAGGAGCCUUUGAAACGUGAGCGCUAGCUUACGUGGAGGCGCUGGUGGGAUACUACCCUAGCUGUGUUGGCUUUCUAACCCGCACCACUUAUCGUGGUGGGAGACAGUGUCAGGCGGGCAGUUUGACUGGGGCGGUCGCCUCCUAAAAGGUAACGGAGGCGCUCAAAGGUUCCCUCAGAAUGGUUGGAAAUCAUUCAUAGAGUGUAAAGGCAUAAGGGAGCUUGACUGCGAGACCUACAAGUCGAGCAGGGUCGAAAGACGGACUUAGUGAUCCGGUGGUUCCGCAUGGAAGGGCCAUCGCUCAACGGAUAAAAGCUACCCCGGGGAUAACAGGCUUAUCUCCCCCAAGAGUUCACAUCGACGGGGAGGUUUGGCACCUCGAUGUCGGCUCAUCGCAUCCUGGGGCUGUAGUCGGUCCCAAGGGUUGGGCUGUUCGCCCAUUAAAGCGGUACGCGAGCUGGGUUCAGAACGUCGUGAGACAGUUCGGUCCCUAUCCGUCGUGGGCGUAGGAAAUUUGAGAGGAGCUGUCCUUAGUACGAGAGGACCGGGAUGGACAUACCUCUGGUGUACCAGUUGUCGUGCCAACGGCAUAGCUGGGUAGCUAUGUGUGGACGGGAUAAGUGCUGAAAGCAUCUAAGCAUGAAGCCCCCCUCAAGAUGAGAUUUCCCAACUUCGGUUAUAAGAUCCCUCAAAGAUGAUGAGGUUAAUAGGUUCGAGGUGGAAGCAUGGUGACAUGUGGAGCUGACGAAUACUAAUCGAUCGAAGACUUAAUCAA